This 321-nucleotide ribosomal RNA is filed under the name uncultured Leptophryidae. RNAcentral describes it as "SSU rRNA". It matches the Rfam family "Eukaryotic small subunit ribosomal RNA", at positions 634 to 955 of the family's 1831-position model. The record is from RNAcentral. Lineage: Eukaryota; Endomyxa; Vampyrellida; Leptophryidae.
AAUUUUUGGUUCUUUAGGUUUGUCCCGUUCUCUCGUAGAACGUUGUGACGAAUCUUGGAACCUUCCCGGUAGAGAAUGUUUCUGCCCUUUAUUGGGUUGGUCUCAUAAUCUACCUCUUUUACUGUGAGAAAAACAAAGUGCUCAAAGCAGGCUUUACAGCUUGAAUGCGUUAGCAUGGAAUAAUAAGAUAGGACUUUGUUUCUAUUUUGUUGGCUCUGAGGGACAAAGUAAUGAUUGAUAGGGAUAGUUGGGGGUGCUCGUAUUUAACGGUCAGCGGUGAAAUGCAUGGACCCGUUAAAGACGAACCUAUGCGAAAGCAUU